AAAAGUAAUUUCACAUAUUAGGGAAAUAGCAUGCAUCACUAUAUAACAUGGAAGAAAGAAGAGAUCCAUCAGUCAACAUGAGAAGUGGAAAUCUAAAGAAACUUGAUAAGUAUUAAUUCAACACAACACUAUUAGACACAAAACACAAAAUCACAAACUGACAUUGAGAGACCUUGUUUAUAUAAAUAAGGGUCUGAAAUUGUAUUUAUGCAAAAUGUAAAUAUGUAUAUAAUUAGUUCCAUUGGGUUUUAGGCAAAUAGAAAGAUCAGUAGAUAUUUCUAUUUGACUGACAUCAUGAUGUGGAACAAUGUGUAUUGUUGUAUUAUAUGUAAAUAAUUUCUGUAAAGAAGGUAUUAGUUUUAGUUAACUUAGAGUAAGUAGUAUUAGCACUAAGAUUCAAUUUCUUGUAAUAGUUUUGUUCGACAUUUUUGUACUGAAUUUAAUGUAAAACCCCAAAAUUACCCUUACCCUUACUUUCCCGCAAAGAAUCCUUAGAGUAGAUUUAGUAAAUUGGUGACUAUAAUAUAAAUAUGUGACCUUGGGAAGGGCACAACAAAAAAGGGGGACGAUUGUGGAAAGGAAACUAGACUAACAGUUUGUGUGGGGGAGGGCCAACUGGGAGUGGCAGUUGGGUCUUGUGACUAGCACUUCCUUCCUGCCGGGAGAGGGCUUGCAUCCUGGGGUUGGAGGAGAGUGGAGCUUGUUCAGCCCAGUCUGGAGUAGCAUGCUCUUCUUGGUUCAGCCCAAAGACACAGGCUUCUAAAGGGCCCAACACACUAUGUAGAAGGUGUUUCUGUCUCUUCUGCAGUCAUAGCUACUGAAGACCCUUUGCCAUCAAGGCUCUUACUGUAUCCAGUGGUUCAAUGUCAAUGGAAAGUAACUGCUACACCCCAAGGACCAAUGACCUUCCCAUCCAGCUGGCAGCUGAAACAUCUAUGGGUGUUAUCUCCCCCAUUUGGGUGAGUUAUCCCUGAGAUCAGGGGGUUAUAUUUCUCCCCAG
RNAcentral lists this long non-coding RNA (1000 nucleotides) under Monodelphis domestica (gray short-tailed opossum). Its description in RNAcentral is "lncRNA (ENSMODG00000040236.1)". The record is from RNAcentral. Lineage: Eukaryota; Metazoa; Chordata; Mammalia; Didelphimorphia; Didelphidae.